Molecule: ribosomal RNA, 600 nt
Filed under: Olpidium brassicae
Lineage: Eukaryota; Fungi; Olpidiomycota; Olpidiomycetes; Olpidiales; Olpidiaceae
Description: eukaryotic LSU rRNA
Rfam family: 5.8S ribosomal RNA (bases 134-287)
Source: RNAcentral
UCCGUAGGUGAACCUGCGGAAGGAUCAUUAAUAAAUGCUUCAUUGCAUCCACCUUUUGUGCACCGUAAAUUUUCACUUAAACUUUGUCUGAUUUAUAUCUGUUCUUGAAGGAACAUGAAUUGUAAUCUAAUACAACUUUUAACAAUGGAUCUCUUGGCUCUCGCAUCGAUGAAGAACGCAGCGAAAUGCGAUAAGUAAUGUGAAUUGCAGAAUUCAGUGAAUCAUCGAAUCUUUGAACGCAUAUUGCGCUCUCCGGCAUUCCGGAGAGCAUGCCUGUUUGAGUCUUGGUACCAAUCUGGUGUAACCUUUGUAUUAAGGAUAGAACUUUUUAUAAAAAACUGCAUUGAGACGUCUUGAUAAGUAAAAUUGUUAAGUGUCUUAAAAUACAAUAGUACAGCUAUAGCUCACCCUCUUUGGAGUAAUAUGUGACCUGAAAGGGUAACUCUAUUUCUCCUCGUUGGGAAGACUUGUUGCUGGAAGUUUUUGAUUGCUGAACGUCAAAGGCGGCAUUCAAUUGUUCGAGUAACGACGAACUUAAAAAUUCAAGCUCAAAUCAGGUAGGAUUACCCGCUGAACUUAAGCAUAUCAAUAAGCGGAGGA